AAGUCGUAACAAGGUUUCCGUAGGUGAACCUGCGGAAGGAUCAUUAUCGAGUUUUGAAACGGGUUGUAGCUGGCCUUCUUUGGCACCGUGCACGCCCUGCUCAUCCACUCUACACCUGUGCACUUACUGUAGGUUUCAGACGCGAUGCGAGUUUAGGCUCGCGGAGCUUAUGGGGCUUACGUUUCAACCACAAACGCUUCAGUAUCAGAAUGUGUAUCGCGAUGUAACGCAUCUAAAUACAACUUUCAACAACGGAUCUCUUGGCUCUC
This 269-nucleotide unclassified non-coding RNA is filed under the name Yuchengia narymica. RNAcentral's name for it is "partial internal transcribed spacer region". The stretch from base 1 to 46 matches the Rfam family "Eukaryotic small subunit ribosomal RNA", at positions 1786 to 1831 of the family's 1831-position model. Lineage: Eukaryota; Fungi; Basidiomycota; Agaricomycetes; Polyporales; Polyporaceae. The record is from RNAcentral.